AGAGUUUGUACUCCUGGCGUCAGGACGACGCUGGCGGCGCGCCUAACACAUGCAAGUCGAACGGGACGUAUGCGAGAUGAAGUUUUCGGUAUGGAAUUUUGUUAUAGUUUAGUGGCGGACGGGUGAGUAACACGUGAGCAACCUGCCUUCGAGAGGGGAAUAACGGCUGGAAACGGUCGCUAAUACCGCAUAACAUACGGAGGGACAUCCCUUUUGUAUCAAAGAUUUAUCGCUCGAAGAUGGGCUCGCGUCCGAUUAGGUAGUUGGUGAGGUAACGGCCCACCAAGCCGACGAUCGGUAGCCGGACUGAGAGGUUGAACGGCCACAUUGGGACUGAGACACGGCCCAGACUCCUACGGGAGGCAGCAGUGGGGGAGUAUUGCACAAUGGGGGAAACCCUGAUGCAGCGACGCCGCGUGUAGGAAGACGGUCCUCUGGAUUGUAAACUACUGUCCCCAGGGACGAAGAUGACGGUACCUGGGGAGGAAGCUCCGGCUAACUACGUG
This 506-nucleotide ribosomal RNA is filed under the name uncultured Oscillospiraceae bacterium. RNAcentral describes it as "bacterial SSU rRNA". It matches the Rfam family "Bacterial small subunit ribosomal RNA", at positions 8 to 507 of the family's 1533-position model. Lineage: Bacteria; Bacillati; Bacillota; Clostridia; Eubacteriales; Oscillospiraceae. The record is from RNAcentral.